AGGGCGUAUGGUGGAUGCCUUGGCAGACAGUACCGAUGAAGGACGUUUGAGGAUGCGAUAAUCCUAGGGGAGCCUCCAACAUGGCUUUGAUCCUAGGGUCUCCGAAUGGGGGAACCCGCCGGCCGUCAUGGGCCGGCACCGCUUAUGUGCGGGGGGUACGCAGGGAAGUGAAACAUCUCAGUACCUGCAGGAAGGGAUACUCCGUGAGUAGUGGCGAGCGAAAGCGGAUCAGACCAAACCGGUUGCGCGUGAUACCCGUCGGGGGUUGCGUUGCCGGUGUUGUGGGAUCACGUGUCCCGGUUCCGACGGGCCGGGCGGGAGUCAUAAAACGGCUUGCCAGGGGAACAGGCUUGAAGGCCUGGCCGUAGAGGGUGCCAGCCCCGUACCUGGACGUGAGCCGUCUUCCGAUCGUGUUGUCCCAAGUAGCGCGGGCCUCGUGGAAUCCCGCGUGAAUCAGCCCAGACCGUUGGGUAAGUCUAAGCAUACCUGUCUGACCGAUAGCGUACCAGUACCGUGAGGGAAAGGUGAAAAGCACCCCGGGAGGGGAGUGAAACAGUUCCUGAAACCGUGCGCCCACAAACCGUCGGAGCCUCCUUGUGGGGUGACGGCGUGCCUAUCGAAAAAUGAGUCUGCGAGUCAGUGGCGGGUGGCGAGCAUAAGCCGUGUGGCGUAUGCGUAGCGAAAGCGAGUCUUAAAAGGCGUUUUUUAGUCGCUUGUCCUGGACCCGAAGCGGGAUGAUCUAGCCCUGGGCAGGUUGAAGCGCGGGUAAGACCGCGUGGAGGACCGAACCCACCUGGGUUGAAAACCGGGGGGAUGACCUGGGGCUAGGGGUGAAAGGCCAAUCAAAUUCCGUGAUAGCUGGUUCUCUCCGAAAUGCAUUUAGGUGCAGCGUCGGUCGAUUGCGUCGCGGGGGUAGAGCUACCGGAUGCUUGCGGGCCCUUGUUGGGUACCAACAGCAGCCGAACUCCGAAUACCGUUGACGUGUAUUCCGGCAGUGAGUCGGCGGGGGAUAAGCUCCGUCGUCGAGAGGGAGACAGCCCAGACCGUCGUCUAAGGUCCCGAAGCGUGUGCUAAGUGGGAAAGGAUGUGGAGUCGCAUAGACAGCCAGGAGGUUGGCUCAGAAGCAGCCAUCCUUGAAAGAGUGCGUAACAGCUCACUGGUCUAGUGGUUCCGCGCCGACAAUGUAGCGGGGCUCAAGCACACCACCGAAGACGCGGCAGCAAUCUUCAUGGUUGCUGGGUAGGAGAGCGUCCUGCGAGGGGCGAAGCGGCGGUGGAAACCGGCCGUGGACUUCGUGGGAGUGAGAAUGCAGACAUGAGUAGCGAGAGACGGGUGAGGAUCCCGUCCGCUGGAUGACCAAGGGUUCCGGGGCCACGUUCGUCGUCCCCGGGUGAGUCGGGUCCUAAGGCGAGGCCGACAGGCGUAGUCGAAUGGAUGAACGGGUGGAUAUUCCCGUACCGACCAUGGACCGGCAAAACCGAGACGGUGAGUACUAACCUCCGCCUCGUGGUGGUUCCUUCCUUCGGGUUGGUAUCGCCGCGUGGUGUUGGGAGCGUAGCCGCAGUAGGUCAGCGCAGGGGUGACACGGAAUGGGAGCCGGCCGCGGAGGUGGUUUUCCGUGGUCAAGCACGCAGCCAGUCAUGUAGGCAAAUCCGCAUGGCGCGCAUGGCGAGGUGUGAUGAUGGGAGCCGUUAUGGCUCGAUAUCCGGUUGUCCAGGCCGUCGAGAAAAGCCUCGGCGUGAGGGCCAUGGCCGCCCGUACCCCAAACCGACACUGGUGGUCAGGUAGAGAAUACCAAGGCGAUCGAGCGAAUCCUGGUCAAGGAACUCGGCAAAUCACUCCCGUGCCUUCGGUAUAAGGGAGACCCACUGGGGUGAACGGCCUCGCGCCGGGAGCUUUGGUGGGUGGCACAGACCAGGGGGUAGCGACUGUUUACCAAAAACACAGGUGCAUGCGAAGGCGAAAGCCGCUGUAUAUGCACUGACGCCUGCCCGGUGCCGGAAGGUUAAGAGGAUCCGUCAAUCCCUUCGGGGACGAAGCGGUGAAUUCAAGCCCCGGUAAACGGCGGUGGUAACUAUAACCAUCCUAAGGUAGCGAAAUUCCUUGUCGGGUAAGUUCCGACCUGCACGAAUGGCGUAACGACUUCCCCACUGUCUCGACCAGGAGCUCGGCGAAAUUGCAGUACGAGUAAAGAUGCUCGUUAAGCGCAGAAGGACGAAAAGACCCCGGGACCUUUACUAUACCUUGGUAUUGGCGUUAGGCGCGGAUUGUGUAGCAUAGGCGGGAGGCUUNNNNNNNNNNAAAAGACCCCGGGACCUUUACUAUACCUUGGUAUUGGCGUUAGGCGCGGAUUGUGUAGCAUAGGCGGGAGGCUUCGAAGCGGGUGCGCCAGCAUUCGUGGAGCCGCAAGGUGAAAUACCGCUCUGUUCUCGUUUGACGUCUAACCUCGACAAGUCAUCCUUGUCAGGGACAGUGCCUGGCGGGUAGUUCAACUGGGGCGGUUGCCUCCCAAAGAGUAACGGAGGCGCUCAAAGGUCCGCUCAGCCCGGUUGGCAAUCGGGUGUCGAGUGUAAUCGCACAAGCGGGCUUGACUGCGAGGACGACGGUCCGAGCAGGGACGAAAGUCGGAGAUAGUGAUCCGGUGCCGGCGCACGGGCGCGGCAUCGCUCAACGGAUAAAAGGUACCCCGGGGAUAACAGGCUGAUCAUUCCCAAGAGUCCAUAUCGACGGGAUGGUUUGGCACCUCGAUGUCGGCUCGUCGCAUCCUGGGGCUGGAGCAGGUCCCAAGGGUUCGGCUGUUCGCCGAUUAAAGCGGCACGCGAGCUGGGUUCAGAACGUCGUGAGACAGUUUGGUCUCUAUCCUCUGCGCUCGUUGGAAUCCUGAGGAGGCCUGCCCAUAGUACGAGAGGACCUGGGUGGACGAACCUCUGGUAUGCCGGUUGUCGCGCCAGCGGCACGGCCGGUUGGCUACGUUCGGGAGGGAUAACCGCUGAAAGCAUCUAAGCGGGAAGCCUGCUCCAAGAUUAGGAUUCCAUGGAUCUUCGAGAUCCUGUAGCCCGCAUGUUGA
Molecule: ribosomal RNA, 3067 nt
Filed under: Bifidobacterium adolescentis
Lineage: Bacteria; Bacillati; Actinomycetota; Actinomycetes; Bifidobacteriales; Bifidobacteriaceae
Description: bacterial LSU rRNA
Rfam family: Bacterial large subunit ribosomal RNA
Source: RNAcentral